AACCGUGAACAGUGAAAUUUUCCGUAUUUCCGAAGAAAUACCCUUCGCCAUCACUUCCAACGACUAAAGAAUAUGAAGUAUACAUGAUACAUCUUCCAGAAAUCAUAAAUGUGAGGCAUGUGGAAAAUCAUGAAUGAUAAAGUCACAAGAAAAGAACAAAAAGAUAAUGAAAUGAUAAAAUAUUGUGAAAAUUACCUUCAAUCUAAUUAACUUUAAUCCUGUUACCCUCAUGUAAAAGGUAAAAAAAAGUGAAAGCAUUAAUAGCGUUUUCUUUUAGCUGGAACAACUCACCAAGAUCGGACAUUCUCGACUGCCAUUACACUGAAUCUGUUCCAUUUUCAAGAGGAGAAACAUGAACAAACAUUGCGUUAAAAACCUUUUCUUUUCCAAACUGAUCGCAAUGAAUAACGGACUCAGACGCGGCAACAUAUCAACGGUAUUAGACUAUUUAAUUUUAAAUUCUAUUACAUCCUCUUCCUCUUGCCUUAUCUCGUUGUCCACUAAAUGAAUUUAAAAACUUCAAAAGAUAGGGUAAAUGAAACACGACUUAAGAAACCCAUUAAAUAAAUACCAUUAUUAAAUAACACUUUUUUUUCCAAGAAAAAAAUUCCAAAGCCAUUCGUCUUCCGUAAACCACAGUGCCGACCCCUCCACCGUGAAGUGUCAAAGCAUCCGUAAAAAUAUCACACUGCUCAUGGAACUAAAUAAAGACAAAUAAAAAAAAAAGACUCGUCCGUCGAGCCGGAGUUGAACCAGCGACCUAUGGAUACCUCUUUUACGUAAGUGUAACACCUUUCUCUUUUAUUGUUACUCGUUUCUACAGUCCACCGCUCUACCAACUGAGCUAUCGACGGAUGAAAUCAUUCGCGAAUUCAUUGAUCAUAACCAGGUGAAAGAUUAUUAAAUAUUUCCUUGUUUUGCAGGUCAAUUUAACAGGAUGAGUUCGUAGCCUUUUAACAACGGAUGAAAAUCGUGCUCUAUCAAAUGGCCGUGCGAACGCAUUAGGCUACGUGAUACUGAAUAUGUUUUUUACGACUUGCUUCAUUCUGGAGCUGAAAUGCGAUCUCCGUCAGGUAAAUAUGAGAAUUUUCUUUCUAAUUGCACGUUCACGAUCUGUAAACUUUUUAUUAAAUUUUCCUUUUCUCGUUGUUUAAGAAAUUUUAUACCUGUAUCGCCAUAUUUUCUCUCGUCCACAUGUUUGACACCUUAGUCAAGCCAUUUUUCCUGCAGGACUGACUUUUUCAUCACGUCACCUGUAAAAUGAACAUCACGUUUCUAAGCUCACCUGUCGAUUUCCUACUGGUCGAUUCAUUUAUAAUUGCAAUAUAAUUUUCUCGGUAGACCAGCGAACCGGCAGUGAGUUCACAACCAUUUGCAGUCCAGUGCUCCAGUUGGAAAGAAAUCACAGGUAUUUCAAUUGCCACAAUUCUAAUCACGAAUUUCUCCGUUAACCAUCGUCAUUUGAAAAACGCCAACCAGUUCGAUCACGUCGAUAAACUUGGAAAAAAUAUCAAAAAUGCUGCUGUUUACUUACGUGGUCGUUUGUCUUGCCAUCAUCAGCCCAAUUUUUUCUGCUGAAGUUGGAACUCCAUCAACUGUACCUCCAACGCGGGAUAUGUCUAAAGUUAAACAUUACGGAAUGUGUGGCCGACCGAUUUUUCCUAAUACGGAACUGUGCUCAUUGAAUGGAACAAAAACAGUUACGCUUUGGGCAUUCGAUAGCCAGGCUCUGAAAUGUGUAACGUUUCAAAAUUGCGGACGCUUUCCUCAUUCUUUGAAUUUUUUCCCUUCAGACGUGGCUUGCAAAAUAAUAUGUGAGCCUACGAGAUUGGCGCUGACACUCAAACCUUAAACUGAAACUAGAUGGACAAGCAUCACCAUGGACUGUCUUGUACUGCUAAAUGGACUAUAUGUCUUCUAGAAAAAGCUCCCCAAUUACGAGGAUUGACGUUUAAAAUUUACAGCCAGGAAUGUAGAAUUUAAAAAUUUUGAAUAGUUACUGACUUGGGGCACUUUACUGGAAAGCGUAUUGGAGUUAAUAAACUACUUUGCUAUCUUGCAAAUAGCUAUUCCUUCUGCCUACACAGUCUACUAGUGAUGAGAAAUAUCAAAUCGUAAUUUUCUCCUGAAAUCAAUUAAUAAUCGGAAAAUUUCAAACGAGAAAGUUAACUGGUGAAAAUAGUACUAUGCAUUACCUACUUGUGCAUAUUGUACUCAUUUCAGACGUUAAAAACGUUCAAACCAAAUUACCUUAAAAAGCUGAUGGGAAAUAAAAACGAUGAUAGAUGUUACUUACGCAUUAUGAAAUCUUCGGAUUAACCACUGCUUAAAUGUAAAGUUCUUGCGAUGAACAUUCUCGUAGAAUGCAGACAAGGUGGAAAUACAUCCCAUUUUAGCUGUAACGAGAUUUUCAACAAUACGAAUUUCAGAUCUGCCAUUACACGUCAGAACACGUCAACAUCUGCCCAGCAGACUAAACAUUGCCCGAUCGAAACUAUUCCGAUAAGGUUUUCCACAGCAUGAUGAUAUCAACAAAUCCUUGAGUAAACUGAUUCUACAAAAUAGAUAUUUAUCAAAGAUUUUACAAAAUCAGUGCCUCUAAUUUUUCUUCGGUUGUGACUGUUUCCCACAUUACUAUUCAACUCGUACUGAUGUACACGGCCUAAAAGGGAACUUAGUUUCACCUUGUUUCUGAAGGAAGGACUUGCAAAGACGGAUUUAAAUAAAAAUCUCUCCCUUCCCCUGCACGCCUGCACGACUGCACGUGUCCUAAAUAUUUUUGUGGACGUCACAGGGGUAAGGAAAUAGAAACGUGGCGUAAGUAACCACUCCUCCUAAAUGUACCUUGAAUUUUGCGUUUUAAAAUCCGCCUUUCUUGCGAAUUAUUCUGGCGCCCUUUCAAACAAAGAAACACAAUAGCUUUCAAGAUAACGCUAAAGGACAAGGCUGUAGCCUAACAUGAGUAACAUCACCUAGUGGCAUUUCCUUUUUCGAUAGAUAAAACACAAUGCAGACUCCCUCCGGCGUGAGAUGGCAAUGCAUCCGAAAAUAACCUUAGGGUCCUCAUGGCAUCGCUGACAAGGUGAGCAAAAAAAAAAAAUAAAAAAAAAAAUGGCUAUUCCGUCGAGCCGGAGUUGAACCAGCGACCUAUGGAUAUCUUUUUCAUGAAACAAAAUGCUAAAAGCAAUGCACACAAAAAAUAAUACCUGACCGAAAAAAAUUUUCCGUCGAGCCGGAGUUGAACCAGCGACCUAUGGAUAUCUCCCACAAGCACACCUGCUUGCUUUGUUUGUUUAAUUCUACAGUCCACCGCUCUACCAACUGAGCUAUCGACGGAUGUCAACUUGCCCACAUAUGAAGCUACACAUCAAGCAUAUGAGAAGCCAUGAACUUAAACAACAUUUUUAACGCAAUGGCACAAAUGAAUAAAAAUGAAAGCGUGUUA
This 3445-nucleotide transfer RNA is filed under the name Daphnia magna. RNAcentral describes it as "uncharacterized LOC116920378, transcript variant X2". Lineage: Eukaryota; Metazoa; Arthropoda; Branchiopoda; Diplostraca; Daphniidae. The record is from RNAcentral.